CGGGUGAGCCGGGUGAUCGCUGGCUUAGGCUGAAGAACGUCGGCGUAAAGCCGCCGCUACAAAGCCGAAGCGGGAGGAAAGUCCGGACACCGUCGUGAGGCACGUUGGCCGCUCUGCGUUCAUCCUGAAGAAAGCGGGGUGCUGGUGUAAAGACCGGCGCUACCCGAGUGAGCGAAGAGCGAACAUCUUUAGUGGUGACCGCAGAGCGGUCAACGGAACUCAGGACAUGGGCAACGCGCCUGGUAACGCCAGGGGACGAUGUUGAAGACGGCGGGGUAAACCCGCCGCUACACACGGCGUCACGGAAAGUGCCACAGAGAAUAGACCGCCGGCGGAGUGGAGCCCGGUGACAUCGAACAGGGAAACCUGCGAGGCGUCUUCGAAAAGCUAGCUCGGUUAGGCAAGGGUGAAAAGGUGGGGUAAGAGCCCACCGCUCCGGUGGUAACACCGGAGGCACGGAAAACCCCGCGUGGUGCAAGGCCAAAUAGGAGGGGAGAGCCGGCCCGGCUCGCUGAGUGCGUUUUCGAAAGGAAGCGUGCUUCGUUCGCGGUGGCGCAAGCCAUCGUGAAGGAGAACCCUCGGGUAGGCUGCUGGAGUCACGGUGCGAACCGUGACCUAGAGGAAUGAUCGCCGCGGUGAAACAGCUCGCUUCGCGAGUUAUUCACUCGACAGAAUCCGGCUUACAGGCUCAUUCGCCAU
RNAcentral lists this RNase P RNA (699 nucleotides) under Acidobacteriota bacterium. RNAcentral describes it as "Acidobacteria bacterium RNase P RNA component class A". The stretch from base 165 to 699 matches the Rfam family "Bacterial RNase P class A". From Rfam's summary of the family: Ribonuclease P (RNase P) is a ubiquitous endoribonuclease, found in archaea, bacteria and eukarya as well as chloroplasts and mitochondria. Its best characterised activity is the generation of mature 5'-ends of tRNAs by cleaving the 5'-leader elements of precursor-tRNAs. Cellular RNase Ps are ribonucleoproteins. The record is from RNAcentral. Lineage: Bacteria; Pseudomonadati; Acidobacteriota.